UUCACACCUUGGUUUAUUAAGGAUAAAACAAGGUGUGAUUGCAUUUUUUGGUAAUGUUCAUAGGACUAAAAUGGUAUGUGGGGUAGCUAGUAGGAGCA
Alosa sapidissima (American shad) is the source of this 98-nucleotide long non-coding RNA. RefSeq lists it as uncharacterized. Lineage: Eukaryota; Metazoa; Chordata; Actinopteri; Clupeiformes; Clupeidae. The transcript is spliced from 3 exons. The record is from RefSeq and is a predicted model, not a curated record.